This 1423-nucleotide ribosomal RNA is filed under the name Triticum aestivum (bread wheat). RNAcentral's name for it is "partial small subunit ribosomal RNA". Lineage: Eukaryota; Viridiplantae; Streptophyta; Magnoliopsida; Poales; Poaceae. The record is from RNAcentral.
GAGGUCGCGUGCGCGAAGAGUCGAGCCGAGACGGAGAGAGCUAGAGGAGAGGUUUGGGAUUGAGAUUGGUGGUUGGAGGUGAGGGACGGCGCGGCGGCGGAGGCGAGGGAUGGCGCGGCGGCGGAGGCGAGCGGGAGCGCGGCAGCGUAGCGGAGGAGGAGGAGCGGUAGAGCCACGAGUGGCUCUCCUCGUGCCGAGCGGCGGCGUCGAUGAGGCGCAGCGACGAGAGGGCAACUCGAGCGCGCAGGGGUAGCGGACCUCUUCGCCUCCGACGUCGAGGACGUAGACGAGCCGGGAGAAAGGGAACAGUCACUCGCCGAGUACCGUCGAAGCCUAGGUGACACGUCGUGUACAACAGACAAGACGUUCUAGCUGCGACCGGAAGAUGCAGUACGCCACCGGUACCGGUCACGAGACGGCGGAGGUUGAAACCGGAGGCAGAGGUGAAGUAAUCCAACUGGGGAGAGAGAGAGACUGGAGACAAAAAAGGUACAUAACCGAACGUCCAGCGGCGGACCACCCAUGACCGAGCUUCCACUUCUCCAUGUGGUCGUCAACCUAGUUCUGAUAUACUCCCUUCGGUACCAACUACUAAGGAACGGAAAGGUCACGAACCCGCGUGGAUCGUCGACGAAGUGCGGAGGACUCUUACGGCCAUAGAGAAUGAAUCCAACCACGACAUGCCGAACCAACUCGAGUUUUAAGUUACCUCUGCCGUUAACAGUCAAAACCCGCAGCAGACAAGUUAAAAUGGCUUGAGGACUUGUGGCAUAUAAACAUACCGUUGUCGACCACUUCGUCGAACCUAGAGUAACCGAGUAGUACUCCAUAUAUGACCUAUACAGGGAUACCUAAUGUCUCUUAUAGAAUUCUUCUACGGUUUUAACCACUUGAGUUCUCCGACAACCUCCCUCCAGUUCAUACAACCCAAUAUCUCCGCUCGGGGCUGUGGUAGUCCGUAAGAAUGUAACACGUGGACUAGAGAUGGUACAUCUACCUUACCAGAUACACCCGAACGGGCUCUAACGGGGAGAGACGUCCACUUAACCCUGAAAUGUUUGAGCUGAAAACACGAAGGUAUUAGUUAUCAGGACUAACUUACUCAACAUAGCCAAUACAUUUGAGCGAAGUACGCACUGAAUGACACGUGUAUAUUCGAUACGAUAUAACAAGUAUGUGAAGGAUAAGGACACUGAGUAGUAGACCUACCAUCUCAUUAUUAAUCAACACUGCAAACAACCAUAUUAUAUAACUUGGAGGAAAACCAUAUAGUACAACGUAAAGGAUACUUUUGCGUGAUGACUAUACAUUAUCUGAAACCAUGAGACCUGUAAAAACAAAAAGAAUUGAAUACUUUAUAUUUAGUACGGAAUGGGCCGACGACCGAUACCGACCACGCCCACCCCACGUCGUUCGGCGUCCG